GCGGUAUAUAUAAUCUUUGCUUCUCUUGACAGCGGCGGACCUUUGAGUAAUGCCUAGGAAUCUGCCUAUUGAUGGGGGAUAACGCCGGAAACGGACGCUCAUAUCGCAUACUUCCUACGGGAGAAAUCGGGGGAUCUUCUGGCCUCGCCCCAUUAGAUGAGCUUAGGUCGGAUUAUCUAGUUGGUGAGGCUUGGCUCACCAAUGCGACCACCCGUAACUGGUCUGAGAGGAUGAUCAUAUACCCUGGUACUGAGACACGGUCCUACUCCUACCGGAGGCAGCACUGGGUAACCUCGACAAUGGGCGAAAGCCUGAUCCAACCAUGCCGCGUCCGUGAAAAUGGUCUUCCGAUUGUAAAGCCCUUUAAGUUGGGAGGAAGGGUAGUAACUUAUACUUUCCUACUUUGACGUUACCNCNGAAUAAUCACCGCCUAACUUCGUGCCUCGUCCGCGGUCAUAC
This 459-nucleotide ribosomal RNA is filed under the name uncultured bacterium. RNAcentral describes it as "bacterial SSU rRNA". It matches the Rfam family "Bacterial small subunit ribosomal RNA", at positions 66 to 526 of the family's 1533-position model. The record is from RNAcentral.